GACGAACGCUGGCGGCGUGCUUAACACAUGCAAGUCGAACGGAAAGGCCCUGCUUGCAGGGUACUCGGGUGGCGAACGGGUGAGUAACACGUGGGUGAUCUGCCCUGCACUUCGGGAUAAGCCUGGGAAACUGGGUCUAAUACCGGAUAGGAGCCAUUUUUAGUGUGAUGGUUGGAAAGUUUUUUCGGUGUAGGAUGAGCUCGCGGCCUAUCAGCUUGUUGGUGGGGUAAUGGCCUACCAAGGCGGCGACGGGUAGCCGGCCUGAGAGGGUGGACGGCCACAUUGGGACUGAGAUACGGCCCAGACUCCUACGGGAGGCAGCAGUGGGGAAUAUUGCACAAUGGGCGCAAGCCUGAUGCAGCGACGCCGCGUGGGGGAUGACGGCCUUCGGGUUGUAAACUCCUUUCGCUAGGGACGAAGCUUUUUGUGACGGUACCUAGAGAAGAAGCACCGGCUAACUACGUG
This 465-nucleotide ribosomal RNA is filed under the name uncultured bacterium. RNAcentral describes it as "partial 16S ribosomal RNA". It matches the Rfam family "Bacterial small subunit ribosomal RNA", at positions 28 to 507 of the family's 1533-position model. The record is from RNAcentral.